GAGCUUGCUCUUAUGAAGUUAGCGGCGGACGGGUGAGUAACACGUGGGUAACCUGCCCAUAAGACUGGGAUAACUCCGGGAAACCGGGGCUAAUACCGGAUAACAUUUUGAACCGCAUGGUUCGAAAUUGAAAGGCGGCUUCGGCUGUCACUUAUGGAUGGACCCGCGUCGCAUUAGCUAGUUGGUGAGGUAACGGCUCACCAAGGCAACGAUGCGUAGCCGACCUGAGAGGGUGAUCGGCCACACUGGGACUGAGACACGGCCCAGACUCCUACGGGAGGCAGCAGUAGGGAAUCUUCCGCAAUGGACGAAAGUCUGACGGAGCAACGCCGCGUGAGUGAUGAAGGCUUUCGGGUCGUAAAACUCUGUUGUUAGGGAAGAACAAGUGCUAGUUGAAUAAGCUGGCACCUUGACGGUACCUAACCAGAAAGCCACGGCUAACUACGUGCCAGCAGCCGCGGUAAUACGUAG
RNAcentral lists this ribosomal RNA (471 nucleotides) under Bacillus cereus. RNAcentral's name for it is "bacterial SSU rRNA". It matches the Rfam family "Bacterial small subunit ribosomal RNA", at positions 76 to 530 of the family's 1533-position model. Lineage: Bacteria; Bacillati; Bacillota; Bacilli; Caryophanales; Bacillaceae. The record is from RNAcentral.